UACGAACCGUCCAAACGUUAUUCGGAUUUAUUGGGCUUAAAGGGUACAUAGGCGGCCCUGUUAGUCGGGUGUGAAAUCCCUCGGCUCAACCUAGGAACUGCGCCCGAUACUGUGGUGCUUGAGGGAGACAGAGGUAAGCGGAACUGAUGGUGGAGCGGUGAAAUGCGUUGAUAUCAUCAGGAACACCAGUGGCGAAAGCGGCUUACUGGGUCUCUUCUGACGCUGAGAUACGAAAGCUAGGGGAGCGAACGGG
RNAcentral lists this ribosomal RNA (253 nucleotides) under uncultured bacterium. Its description in RNAcentral is "partial 16S ribosomal RNA". It matches the Rfam family "Bacterial small subunit ribosomal RNA", at positions 524 to 776 of the family's 1533-position model. The record is from RNAcentral.